This 257-nucleotide ribosomal RNA is filed under the name uncultured bacterium. RNAcentral's name for it is "partial 16S ribosomal RNA". It matches the Rfam family "Bacterial small subunit ribosomal RNA", at positions 524 to 776 of the family's 1533-position model. The record is from RNAcentral.
UACGUAGGGUCCGAGCGUUGUCCGGAAUUACUGGGCGUAAAGAGCUCGUAGGUGGUUUGUCGCGUUGUUCGUGAAAACUCACAGCUUAACUGUGGGCGUGCGGGCGAUACGGGCAGACUUGAGUACUGCAGGGGAGACUGGAAUUCCUGGUGUAGCGGUGGAAUGCGCAGAGUAUCAGGAGGAACACCGGUGGCGAAGGCGGGUCUCGUGGGCAGUGAACUGACGCUGGAGGAGCGAAAGCGUGGGGAGCGAACAGG